Molecule: long non-coding RNA, 3862 nt
Organism: Symphalangus syndactylus (siamang)
Lineage: Eukaryota; Metazoa; Chordata; Mammalia; Primates; Hylobatidae
Source: RefSeq, a predicted model, not a curated record
AAGGCGACUGUCAACCCUCAAAGGGGCGCUCAGAUGGAACUCAGAAAAAAUAAAAAAAGAGUGAGUUUAGUAUCAGUGGAUCAGGGGAGUGGGGAUAACCUGGGAAUUCUGGUCUGGUGGGGCAGGCGACACAGACCGAAGGCCACCCCCACCCCCAGCCUCGAGCCCCCUCUGCGUGGGGCCCCUGGGGGCCUGGGGACAUUUGCAUGUACUCUCAGGAGAUUCUCCUUUCUUCUCCCUGGGUUUCAUCUUUAAUAACUAGAUGAUGGGCUGUUGGGGAAUGCAGGGCCAGCGCUCUAGGAAAGUGAAACCGCCUUGCAGAGGGAAAGCAACGCACUGUGGCCCCGAAAGACCCAGACCGCCAGCGGCCCCGGGCAGCCGCGGAGGGCACCGGCUCACACUUCCUGCCUCUCACAAGCUCUUGCUUGGCAUGCAUUGGUGACUUGAACUGGGGGUUAACCCAAAAAGAUCAAGUGAGAGCUCAAGGCGGGUGAUGAGAACAGAUUCGGGGCUGGUUAACCUCAGAGAGCGGGAGUCCGUUGGUGCUAAUGAGGCCAAGGGAGCCCGGCUCCUUUCUGCCCCCAGGCAGGUGAGAAAGAAAGAACGGAGACGAAAGAGGGCCCGCUGAGUCUACUCCUCUUGGCCCGGAAGCCCAGCUCUACCCUGAGGCCACAAACUGCCCCCUACUGGAGAAAUCGCUGCAGGAUUUCUCCUCCAUCAAAUCGCUGUGUCAGAGCCAGUUGGGGGCUUUUAAAAGACGCCCACGCUCAGGCCCCCACCAGGCCACCUACAUUGGAAUAUCUGAGGCUAAGUCCCAAGCUAGAAUUUCCCAUCUUCUUUCUGGCCUUGGGAGAUUUUGCAUCUCCUUCCAGGGAAGGAAGCCUGACUUCUGAAAUGAUUCUCACGAAGGAGAAGUGCUCGGUUCUGCAGUGAGCCUGACCAGGGGGGCCACACCACAGACUCCCAGGAGGCUUCUUUUCUGCUCUGCGUGGUUCUUCUGCUCUCGUUUCCUUAACGAUUGGGCCAGAGCAUCUCUGCUCUUGUAAAAUAUCAGGCAAUUAGAUCUCGAAGUCUUUGAAGUGGGCAGAUUCACCAGGCGUUGGACUGAAGUUUCUAUUUGUCCUGGCACUGAGAAUAGCAAAGGAACAGGGGGACUGAACUGGUAUGAAAAGAGGCAUAGAGAGGUGAAGUAUCUUGCUGAUAUCUUCUAGACCGGGCUGGCUGCAGGGUCUGUUGCUCUCAACCAGAGAAAAUAGAACCAUGAAAGAACAAGGUCAGCCUGUUGCCCAGGCUGGAAUGCAGUGGCUCAGUCUCAAAUCACUGCAACCUCCACCUCCUGGGCUUAAGUGAUUCUUCCACCUCAGCUCUGCCCAGCUAAUUUUUUUGUAGAGACAAGGUCUCACCAUGUUGCCCAGGCUGGUCUCAAACUCCUGGACUCAAGCAAUCCUCCUGCCUCGGCCUCCCACAGUGCUAGAAUUACAGGAAGCCAGUUGCCAUGUCAUGGGAAGGACACUCAGGCAGCCCCGGGAGGAGACUCAUGUGAGGAGGAACUGAGAUGUCUUGCCAACAGCCAUAUGAGGGAGCCAUCUUGGAAAUGAAUCUUCUAGUCCCAAUCAAGUCUGCAGAUGACCAGAGCCUCAGCUAAUAACUUGGCUGCAGCCUCAUGAGAGACCCUGAGCCAGAACCACUCAGCCAAGGUGCUCCUAGAUUCCUGCCUCUCAAAAACUGUGUGAGAUAAUAGAUGCUUAUCAUUUCAAGUUGUUUAGGGUAAUUCAUUGUGUAGCAAUAGAUAACUGAAACAGGAGGCUCUACAUUUACUCUUUUUUUUUUUUUUUCUUGGAGACAGAGUCUUGCUGUGUCACCCAGGCUGGAGUGCAGUGGGGCGAUCGCUCAUUGCAACCUCCGCCUCCCUGGUUCAAGCAAUUCUCAGGCCUCAGCUUCCCUGGUAGCUGGGACUACAGGAGUGCGCCACCAUGCCCAGCUAAUUAUUUUGUAUUUUUAGUAGAGACAGGGUUUCACCAUGUUGGCCAGGCUGGUCUCAAACUCUGGACCUCAAGUGAUCUGCCUGCCUUGGCCUCCCAAAGUGCUAGGAUUACAGGCAUGAGCCACCGCACCCAGCCUACCUUUACUCUUAAAAUGUCAUAAACGCACAGAGUGUUUUGAGGAGUCUUUUAUCCCAAAGUAUUCCAACUAUAUUUCUUUUAAAAAUUUAGGGCAAUUCAGGCAUUUUAACACAUGUGACCCUCCCCGCCCCACAUUCCCCCACCCUUCAUUAUUUCAAACUGGAGUGGUCUUCUGAAUUUUUUCCUGAACGUGUUUCUAGAAAGUUUAUACCAAGUAAAACAGCUAUAUCCAAGUUCCUAGUAAUUAUUACAGCAAUUACAAGGGUUCCAAGCCUAAUAAAGUAAUCUAAGGGCAGGAGGUUUGGAGGUAUGGCUAUUUCUUGGCAUUCUUCUAAUGACAGCCUGCAGCCGAGUAGCAUCUUGGCAGUUGUCCACUGUUUGAAUACGUUAGACUGCUCCUGACUCUGUCACUUGCUAACUGUGUGACCUUGGGCAAAUGAUCAAACUCUCUGUGCCUUAAUUGCAUAUAAAUUUUAGAAUCUAAUUAUAAUACCUGCUCUGUGGAAUCCUGGGGAAGAUUAAAACGAGAGGGGGUAGAGCAUGGUGCUUAUGAGCAUUGAACUAAAUUGCCUGAGUUUGAGUCCUAGCUCCAGUGACUUUUCAAGCUGUAUGAUCUUGGGAAUGUUACCUAAUCUCCUUGUGCCUCAAUAUUCCACAUACAUAAAAUGGGGUGAGGUGGGGAAAUGGUGCUUACCUCCUAUGACUGUCAUGAGAAUUCAAUGGAGCCAAUUCAUACACUAUUCCUGGUACACAGUAAGUAGCAUAUGGCAAGCAUGCUAGGUAUAGUUGUGCAGGUUGUUCACUGUUCAAGGGCUCUGACCUGAGAGGUCAAGUGAGGACUUGCCAGGCCAUACACUUUGGUAUGAGGUUGCCUACCUAGAGGUGGCACUGUUUUCUAAUUUGUACCAGGCCCUAUAUCAGCUAGCUGUCAGCAUAAGGGUUUGUAGUAUCCAGCAACCGCUACCUUAGCACUAUCUUUAGGCUUUAGGCUGAUGUUCACUGAGCACAUGCCAGUUUUAUUGUAACUGUUACUUGGUAGCUUCCUGGAGUUCUCCAGGAUAACAUCAGUGGGAUGCCUAUAUCCCAAACCUUGCCCUUACCAUUCAGAUACAAUGCUGAAAAUCAAAUAAAAACUAUUAGCAAGGUAUAAAGUUUAAAAUCCUGCAAGACAAUGUUAUAUAUUGCUUAGGCAUACAUACAGAUUUGGUUCAAGUAUAGAAAAACGCAUAAGAAUGAUAAACCCCACGUCUGGAUAAUGGGUUACCUGGGGUGGGGAGGAAGUGGAAUUAGAAAGGGAUGAAGGAAGCUUCGGCUCUAUUCAUAAUUUAUUUCUUCAGCUUAAUGGUGGCUACAUAAGUAUUUAUUAUUUUUUCGUCUUUAAUAUUUAAAAAUAAUGUAUAAUUAAUACUAUUAAAUAAGACCCGUCUAUGUAAAAACUAAUUUUGCAUUUCUCUCCUCAUUAGUCUCUGUUAAAUAUUAAAUCAGUACAUUGAUUGGGAAUGACAGAAUCAAGCAAUCAUUCAUUCAACAAGUGUUUACUUGUUGAACGAUAGGAUGUCCAAAGAGCUAAGAACUUCAUCCAUCCGCUGUAAUACUUAGAACGCUUGUAAUAUUUAUAAUAACCUGUUUGGUUAUUUGACUACGUUUUCUUCUUUCUGUGAGAGCAGAGUCUCUGUCUUACUCACAUUUAAGAUUUCUGCUCCAUAAUAGGUGAUAAAUAAAUGUUAAUUUAAACCAAA